CAAGAGCGUAUAUUAAUGUUGUUGCAGUUAAAAAGCUCGUAGUUGGAUACAAGGGUGCCGGUUGGGGACACGGGCCCGCGUCCGAGGCUUCUGGCUGAGGGCGUGUGGAAGACCGCCUCAUAUGGCCGGUGCUCUUCACUUCUUGUGGGGUACGAACGUCGGCGGAAGCCACCUUCAUUGGUGGGUGAAGCAAAUAACGGAGUGAUACGCUCCCACAGACGCGCCCACAGAUGUUACUGUGAGCAACUCAGAGUGUCCAAAGCAGCCUACGAUGCAGGCUGAAUGCUAAAGCAUGGAAUAACAAGGGAUCGACCGCUGUGGCCUCCUUUUGUUGGUUUUCAAGCCACCGUGUGGUAACCGCGUGCACGUUCGUCUCCUCCGCUACGACCCCGGUUGUGCGGAGGCAGAGUGCGUGCACAUUCGGGAUCAAUAGGAGCGCGGGAGCAAUCAGUACUUCCGGGUGAGAGGUGAAAUUCAUAGACCCCGGGAAGACUAACAUC
This 500-nucleotide ribosomal RNA is filed under the name uncultured eukaryote. RNAcentral describes it as "bacterial SSU rRNA". It matches the Rfam family "Eukaryotic small subunit ribosomal RNA", at positions 592 to 943 of the family's 1831-position model. The record is from RNAcentral.